Molecule: non-coding RNA, 206 nt
Organism: Oryza nivara
Lineage: Eukaryota; Viridiplantae; Streptophyta; Magnoliopsida; Poales; Poaceae
Source: Rfam
AAAAAGAUAAAUCCUGGGUUAGUGUCCAACAUUUAACCGUCCGUCUUAUUUAAAAAAAUUAUGAAAAAAAUUAAAAAGACAAGUCAUGCAUAAAGUAUUAAUCAUGUUUUAAUCAUCUAGCAACAAUAAAAAUACUAAUUAUAAAAAAAUUUCAUAAAAGACGGAUAGUUAAACGUUGCACACAAAAAUUUAGGGUUAGUCUUUUU